RNAcentral lists this ribosomal RNA (489 nucleotides) under uncultured bacterium. RNAcentral describes it as "bacterial SSU rRNA". It matches the Rfam family "Bacterial small subunit ribosomal RNA", at positions 56 to 518 of the family's 1533-position model. The record is from RNAcentral.
UGCAAGUCGAACGGUCUUUCUAUGGAAGCUUGCUUCCACUGAGAAGAUAGUGGCGAACGGGUGAGUAACACGUGGGUAACCUGCCCAUAAGAGGGGGAUAACAUCCGGAAACGGGUGCUAAUACCGCAUAGUUUUCUUGAUCGCAUGAUUGAGAAAGGAAAGACGGCCUUUGUGCUGUCGCUUAUGGAUGGACCCGCGGCGUAUUAGUUAGUUGGUGAGGUAACGGCUCACCAAGACGAUGAUACGUAGCCGACCUGAGAGGGUGAUCGGCCACAUUGGGACUGAGACACGGCCCAAACUCCUACGGGAGGCAGCAGUAGGGAAUCUUCCGCAAUGGACGAAAGUCUGACGGAGCAACGCCGCGUGAGUGAAAGAAGGUUUUCGGAUCGUAAAACUCUGUUGUCAGAGAAGAACAAGUUGGAGAGUAACUGCUCCAGCCUUGACGGUAUCUGACCAGAAAGCCACGGCUAACUACGUGCCAGCCGCCGC